AAUCACACCAAAAACCUUAGUAUUUAGGUAAGAUAGCAAAAGUUAUAUAAAACUUACACGGUAAUCCCGUAUUUCAGAUCAAAUUCUCAUAACUAGCAUUUAAUAUCAUAACAAAAUAACAAGCUUCAGACGCGUCUGAACAAACACGUCUAAACUUAACAAAGAUCUUCUGCAUCUUAAAUCUAAACAAUUUUGGGUUAAUGUUUGCAUCAUUGACAGCAAAAUAAUAAACACAAUAAUAAUACAACUCCUUUGAUGAAAGAGACGCUUGGGAUACCCAGAAUUUUCCAUUGAAAAGACAAGGUUUAUUCAUCCACAAGGAAAAAUAUUACAAGACGGCUCCUAUUUCUAAGAAGCUGCAAAGAAGAAUUCUCAUUUUCUCUUUUCCUCGUAUUCUUUUGACACGCUCAUGCGUUAACUUCCAAUAGCUUCAUACAGAUAUUUGAUCUGCACCCUAAUAUUCAUUCUGCAGGCUGCACAGCAACAACACGUUCAUAAAAAUUUUACCGUUAGAGAGAUUAAUUAGCAUCUCAAUUUAGUUACAUCCAAGUCAAACUUGCAGCAGUUCGAUACCAAAGUUAUCUGGAAUUCCCUAGGCAGACCAGCUUAAUCUGACCUUUGCCUCAGCUGAAAUCCCUUGCAGACCUUUGCUCUUAACAUCCAAUUGCAUACAGUCGAUUCAUCAUACAAUAGAAGUUUAUUCGCCCCUGAAGUCAGAUUCAAACGUAGUAAGCAGUAGAAUUCAUCUUGAAACAACAUAAUAUAUGUGAUAGAAGAAAAGUAAAAUGCACUGGACAAAAGAAAAGUAAUAGAGGAAACGGGAGUUGAAAGAGAUAUAUAUUUCUUUGUAUAAUGUUGCAUGGCAAUAAGGAGACAUCUUUGAAAGUUAAGAGAGCUCUAGAACAAAAUCUGAGGACUAUUAUACUUAUUACUUUGACGCUACCACUAUUCAGAUAAUGCAUGUUAUACAUUCUUGUUCAAUUAAUCGAAGUUAUAGUCAGUUCUUUCAGGCAGCGGUGGAGCCAGGAUUUUAAUUAAGAGGAGUCAAAAUAUAAAUAAGCACACAAAGAAAUCAAGAGGAGUCAACGUAUAGUAUAUACACAUAAAAUUAAGAAUUUAACAUAUUUACACAGUGUAAUUUUCCGACGAAGGGGUAUCAAUUGACUCCCCUUGCCAAUGAGUGGCUCCGCCACUGCUUUCAGGCCCAGAAAAGCAAUUGAACAGAUUAUCCAAAUAUAUGCAACGUUGUACCACUGAUCCUCAAAGAUGAUUAAUAUAUGAAGCCGAUGAUAAACAGCUACACAUUUCUGUCUUUCUUACUCAAAGAAUUAGCCCUUGGAAAUAAAUAGUUCA
This 1353-nucleotide long non-coding RNA is filed under the name Nicotiana tabacum (common tobacco). RNAcentral describes it as "long non-coding RNA (NTAB_LNC005433)". Lineage: Eukaryota; Viridiplantae; Streptophyta; Magnoliopsida; Solanales; Solanaceae. The record is from RNAcentral.